This is a long non-coding RNA of Callorhinus ursinus (northern fur seal), 434 nucleotides long. RefSeq lists it as uncharacterized. The record is from RefSeq and is a predicted model, not a curated record. NCBI's taxonomy places the organism in Eukaryota, Metazoa, Chordata, Mammalia, Carnivora, Otariidae.
UUCUGGUCACUCCAAUGGGGAGGGGGAGGGACGCCUUCUUUCUGCCAGCUGGAGGCGGAAGUCCAGGGAGGGGCUCCCUGCUGGUUGGUGAGGAUUGAAGUUCUACCUCCUUACCUGGACCCCUCUGACACCAAGCCAGCAGGACUGUUGGGGCACCACCUUCUUACAGCUUCAUAAAGAUAUCAACGCACACUGAGAGAUGCAUACAUUCCAUGAAGUUUGGUUCCUUCGGUUGUUACAGUCCGAGACUAAGAUGCAGUUCUGAAUAGUCCACAGAAGACCACGGAGGAGAAAAGAUUCUGGUCCCCGAAAAGAAAAGGAGAUACCUCCCAUCCACCAGCCAUGUGGCUCCAUCCUGGCUUGCAGCUAGUGGUCCCAGGGCACAGCGGCUUCGGUACUUGCUUCUAAACCGGGUUUGAAUCCCAACCCCUCCA